GAGGAGUGCUCAUCCUUUGGAAGGCAUACAAAAUAAGGCAUCAGCCGAGCUUUCAUUAUGUACUAAAAUCCUUUUUUAAAACCUUGCAAUGAUGAGAGAAAUAGCUACAGCGUCGUCAUAAAGAGGGCUCAACACCCUUUUGGUCUUCAUCAGAAAAGGAGAUGUGACUUUCACAGAGCACGGAUGCUUUGAGGAAGCUCUUUUUUCCGAGCUCGGAGCUUCUAGUGCCUCUAGUUGCCCGCACUCUGAUGGUAUUGAUGAUGCCCGUGAGAGGUCAGUUGUCAUUCUGCUCCUUAUGCGGCACUGGAUUUUGUUCCUCGGGCUCUCUCCUGUAGGCAUGAUCACGGACAAAAUAACUCAACCGACCUCGGCAGACAAGUGCCUCGAUCUCAUCACGAAGCUCGUAGCAAUCCUCC
Molecule: long non-coding RNA, 416 nt
Filed under: Phoenix dactylifera (date palm)
Lineage: Eukaryota; Viridiplantae; Streptophyta; Magnoliopsida; Arecales; Arecaceae
Description: long non-coding RNA (PDAC_LNC021528)
Source: RNAcentral